RNAcentral lists this long non-coding RNA (1279 nucleotides) under Lonchura striata (white-rumped munia). RNAcentral describes it as "domestica (Bengalese finch) lncRNA (ENSLSDG00000007493.1)". Lineage: Eukaryota; Metazoa; Chordata; Aves; Passeriformes; Estrildidae. The record is from RNAcentral.
GCGUGAAGAUUAAUUCAGCUCAAAGGGAAGCUGACUGAUUAAAAAAACUUUGAGUUCCAGGAUUUUAUAAAAGAUAAAUUGCAGAAAGUGGAUACUUGUUCCUUUGCAUCCUUUGAUUGUUUUGUAUAAUCAGUAGGAGCUCCUGAUGGAAGUGAAGGUGGUGAGGUGCUGUGUUCCAUUGUGCUUGCUUUCUUUAGGAAACAGUAGGUUUACAAUUGAAAAGUCAGCUUUGUGUGCCAAACUCUGGUGUGUACAGUGCCAGUUUUUUUUUUUCCUUUGACUCCUUCCUACCUAUUGUCUUUAGAAAUCAUGUUUAAUCUUGUUAGAUGCACAAUGUGUGUUAGGAAGAAAAGAGUGGAAUGAAAAAGGGUCACUUUGGUGUCUGCCACAGGCUGGGCACAGCUCUGUUUGUAAUCAGAGGCUCCCCUGGUGCAGCCUGUGGCUGCUUGGCAGUGGGCUGCUGCGGCUGGCAGGCUGGGUCUGGCCCCAGCAGCUCUCAUCCCCUCGGUGUCUCCGGCUGGAGCUCGCUGAAGAGCAAGCAGGAAUGCUGCUGGGGGCUCCUGCGUGACCUUGGAGUGGCACCAAAGUCCUGGGACGCUGGGAUGGAAGUGUUAGCCCCUGAGAAGAAAAAACAUGAAGAGAAUGAAGAUUUGCAACAGUAUCCUCAGAAGCCUGCAAGCUGUAAGAAAAUGCUUAGGAAUUGCUGCUUGAUAAAGCGAAUUUUUGCCUGGAAAAGUUUGAGCUCUAAAGGUACAUUUUCUAUUGAAAAUUUUAGUGUAGGAGAAUUUGUUGUCCUUCCAAGAAUUCUGAAUUUUUGAUACAAUGGUAUUACUGAAUUUAACAUCAGUCAAGUUACAGGUACAAAAAGUCUCUGCUGUCUUGAGUCUAUUGUGCAAGGAGAUUAAAAGUGGUACAGCUUUGAUUGAGGUGCUUUAUCGUAAUGUGAUAAAAAUAAUUGUACUGCAGGAGUAUUCAUUUGCAGCACGUAAAAAUACAUGGUCUGCAGAAAAAAAAAUCCUUAAGUCAGAAGAUAAAUGAGUAAAUGUAAAAUCCCAGCAAUUAGAUGUUUUAAUUUAUCAGGGCCCAAUCCAAAAUUCUGGUCUGAUGAGUAAAACCUCCUUUAAUUUUUGUCAGAGUAUAUUUGCAUGGAAAUUACAUGAUCAAUCCCUUUGUCUUUGAGGAAACGAAGAAAGGUAACAUUCUGUCACAUUUAUACAUAAUGAUGUUAUGUACUGUAUUUAUUAAUAAAUAUUAAACGAAAUGCUUCUUUUUUAAAUUA